UUUCCGUAGGUGAACCUGCGGAAGGAUCAUCAACAAAACAAUUCAAAAAUUCAAAACAAAAAAAACACCAAUUUCAUUCCAAAAUUAUAUUGGAAUGUUUUUUUAAUGGGGAUGUGGAGAUUUCUAAUUAGAUUUUUUUAAUUAGAUUUUUCUCAUGCCCCAUCAUUUGAAACUAAACUCCUAAAAUUAAAUUAAAAAAUUAUUCUAAAAAAAUUUUAAAAUAUAAAAAUAGAGACAACUUUUAACAAUGGAUCUCUUGGCUCUC
Molecule: unclassified non-coding RNA, 265 nt
Filed under: plant metagenome
Description: partial contains small subunit ribosomal RNA, internal transcribed spacer 1, and 5.8S ribosomal RNA
Source: RNAcentral